AAAGUCGUAACAAGGUUUCCGUAGGUGAACCUGCGGAAGGAUCAUUAACACUUUUUAUUAUUUUGUUUUUUUUCUAAAACAAAAUUUAAAACCCCACAAUUUUGGAUGAAUUUAAUUAAUUUAUUUUUUAUUUUAUUUUUUUUUAUUAUAACCCUAUUAUUUGACUAACAUUUUUAUUUAAUUAUUAAAAAAUUAAAAAAACAACUCUUAACAACGGAUAUCUUGGCUCUC
RNAcentral lists this unclassified non-coding RNA (231 nucleotides) under fungal sp. RNAcentral describes it as "partial internal transcribed spacer region". The stretch from base 1 to 47 matches the Rfam family "Eukaryotic small subunit ribosomal RNA", at positions 1785 to 1831 of the family's 1831-position model. The record is from RNAcentral. Lineage: Eukaryota; Fungi.